CUUUUCCUAGUCCCUGAGACCCUAACUUGUGAGGUUUUUUAGCAACAAUCACAAGUCAGGCUCUUGGGACCU
Molecule: microRNA precursor, 72 nt
Organism: Pelodiscus sinensis (Chinese soft-shelled turtle)
Lineage: Eukaryota; Metazoa; Chordata; Testudines; Trionychidae
Product: microRNA 125b-2
Source: Ensembl